UCUCACACAUAUAAUUAUUCCUAUCACACGAAGUCUACACCUUAAAGUCCAUCACCUCCUCUUGCUCUCAUCAAAUAGACUAUUAGACCCAGAGGUCCAAGACGAACUCUUCCACACUUUAUAAUUAUUUUCUUAUGUGUUGGCAUCUUUUCAUGUAAUUUUUUUGGGUUUUUCUUGUUUAUGUUAGAUCUAUGAGCCAAACAACAAAGCCCCAUUCAUGGAUCUUCGUUAUAGAUUUACUAAAAUGAAAUUUGUUACCAUGUCUUAUAUUUCUUCACCCUCUCUUUUAUGCUUUGCCCUGUCCUUCGUUCAAACCAUGGCAAAUAAUCAUCUUCAACGACCGUGAUUUCCUUGAUUAAGAAUGUUAUGGAGUGGAAAAAUCUCCAACAGCUGUUGGCACUCCGCUAAGCCCUUCUCAAUCUUCAUGCUUCUGUCAUCCCAAAGCAUAAAGCAACUGUUUCACAGGUUCUUCCUUCGAGUCCACAUGAAAACAUAGAGAUAGAAUCUCUUGAAACGAAUGAAGUACCUAAUUUGAUGGAUGAGGUUAAGAAUACCUAAUUUUGUGUAUAUUAAAUCUUUUUGGUAAUCAGAUUCAAGGAUUGCAAAACAUGUUCAAGUAUCUUCUAGAAGCAGAAAGCCAAAUGGGAACGGAUAAAAAUGAUGAAAAUGUUGCUGGUUACUCUGUUGGAGCUGGGCAUAAUGUACCUGUUGUUGUUGGUGUUGUGUAUACUAAAUCUUUCUGGUAAUCAGAUUCAAGGAUUGCAAAACAUGUUCAAGUAUCUUCUAGAAGCUGAAAGCCAAAUGGGAACAGAUAAAAAUGAUGAAAAUGUUGCUGGUUACUCUGUUGGAGUUGGGCAUAGUGUACCUGUUGCUGCUGGUGUUGGGGAUACAAACAUAUGUGGGUGUAUAGUUCAGUUGUAUUUGGAUAAUAUUUUGGGCAGAUGUUUGGAUUUCAGUGAACAAGUUCGUCAAUCAGACCUAAAGGGAACAAAUUCAUGUGGAACAAAUGAAUCAGAAUUACGAAAGUUGCAAGUUGCUUGCAUCAGACAAGAAAACAAAGAGAAGAGGACAGAAUAAACUUUCACAAGUUUUUGGAGGCCGGCCGGGCACCGAAAGAACCUGCACUGCUGUUUUAUGAAGUACUGGUUUUGAAAACUACAGGCUAUGUAGACGUGGAGCAAAACGAAGCUUAUGGUGAUAUUGCAAUCUCUAAACUCCCAAAAUUAGAUCAAACAUUUUUAUUUGAUGCAGGAUUAUAUAUGAAGUUGGAGAAGAAAUUGCGAAGCUGUAUUUAUGUGUGCACAAGUGCAUCAAACAGUGGCUCAUGCACAGGAACCAAUGCCUGAUCUGCAAACAAAUUGCCUUGACUACGAAUAAUGUCAAAAAUGAAGUUGGAGCUGGAGCUUAAGUUAAUUAUGGAGAUGUCAAUUCUUAGUUCCUGCCUACAACUUUAAAGACCAAGGUUCCACUUUCAUUUUUCCUCCAUGCAUGGAACAAAGUUAUUUAUGUACUUGAUGCAACUUCAACGAAGAGGUUGAUCUCAAGAAAGGGCAAUAAGUAAGAAGAUGGGCAACCCAUAUGAACCCCAUUCAUAGACUUUCAUUGCAAAUCUAGAUAGAUGGAAGUUGUUCACCUUGACUUAUAUUUCUUCGUUCUCUCUGUUAUGCCUUGCCAUAUCCUUGGUUCUAACCAUGGCUAAUAAACAUAUUCCACUAUUGUGAUUUUCUUGAUUAAUUAGUGUGUUUGGACCUGCAAUCCAAGAGAAGACAUUGACAACUCUAGUUCGGUAGAAAAGUCUAGACUUUUCUAUUUCAUUUCUAGAUUUAUCUUAUUUCUAAUUUUGGUCUUUAGGCCUCCAUUAAUUGCUUUUUGUAUUGGAGAUUGUAUCAAAGGGUAUGUAUUAAGAUCUCCAGCUCAAUUUAUCACUAUAAAUAAUUUCCAUUGAGAGAAA
Glycine soja is the source of this 1951-nucleotide long non-coding RNA. RefSeq lists it as uncharacterized. The transcript is spliced from 6 exons. Lineage: Eukaryota; Viridiplantae; Streptophyta; Magnoliopsida; Fabales; Fabaceae. The record is from RefSeq and is a predicted model, not a curated record.